This 11696-nucleotide long non-coding RNA is filed under the name Vitis vinifera (wine grape). RNAcentral describes it as "long non-coding RNA (VVIN_LNC000736)". The record is from RNAcentral. Lineage: Eukaryota; Viridiplantae; Streptophyta; Magnoliopsida; Vitales; Vitaceae.
UUCCCAUAAACUGAUCUCAACUACUUAUGUAAGAAUGGAUGGCACACUUGUUUUCCUUUUAUACUUUGGUUGUGGUAAACUUUUGCUUGGUUUAAGUUGAUUGAGUACUUGAGCCUGUUCUUCAAAUGAGCAACCACUUCCAAAUUUUUUCUAUGCCCAAGUGUUUGUGCCACGGUCAAGGCAGCUGGUGCUGGCUUCUUAUUAGCUCAUUGAUAAAGAAUCUUGUCAGUGCAUAAUUAUAUCUGGCCUAGCUAGAAGUUUCCUUGCUGUUUUUAAGUUGACUUUAGGUAAGAUUGCUCACAUAUUUAAAGCACAGUGAAAUAGAAAACUGAGCACUGUCUAGGUCAAUGAUCCCUGAUUAGUUUAUCUUGCUGUUUUUGAGUUGACUUUCAAUCAGAUUACUCUAAUAUUUAAAACACAAUGAAAUAGAGAACUGAAUAACUUACCAGAUUAAUGAUUCCUGAUUAGUACUCUGCUUAAACAUUUAAAAUAGAAUGAAAUAGGUGAGUGAAAAUUUAAAAAAACAAAAUAAAAUCUGUACAGGCAAAUGACUUCCUGAAUAAAAAGUGGGGCAUUCCGAGAAUCGAACUCGGGACCUCUUGCACCCAAAGCAAGAAUCAUACCACUAGACCAAAUGCCCGAUUAUUGAUGCAUAUUAGUUUUAUUUUUAGUCAAGUGUUUAGUUGAAUUUACAUCUUUUGCAGUUGAAAAUUUUUUCUGCAUGUUGACUGAAUGUACCUUUAGUUAUUAAUAUAUCAGUACAGUAGGCUGUAUGCUUGCUUAUAUAUCAUGUUAUACUCAUGAUCAUGCUAAUAUCUGUAACUGGAUUUAGAAUUUGUGGCAAUGGACUUUAUGUGUACUGUGUUGACUUAAUAUGAUGUUGAUCCAUAGGCUCUAGUGUUUAGUGCUUCAAUACCAGACUUGGGUCUGAAUUGAACCAUAUACUUGUACAUUUGCUCACAUGCAUGCACACACACAUGUGAGUUUGAAGAGGUUCUGGGUACUUGUAUGUUUUUUGUUCACAUAUUUUGAUUACUCGUGGUGUGUGUUUACCAAAACAACAUGUGCUAUUUCGGUGAGAGCUAUAUUCUUCAUUAUGCCACUAAUAUAGCUUGUUGAUGGUUCUUUUCUAUUCUAGUGGUUUUUAUUUGAGUUGAGGCUAUUGCUCAACAGGACAAGCUUUGUAAACUGUUCAUGAGGUCAAUUUGUAGGUGGGAAUCUCAUCAUGGAAAAAGGAAAAUUGUGAUGAUUUAAUUGGUCUUAUGUUGCAGUGAGUUGGCCUGGGUUAUAAUACUGACUCAAGUUUGUAUCAAAAUAAAUAAAUAAUAUAUAAUAAAAUUGUGAGUUUGUUUAAUCCCUGAUUUGGAUAGGGCAUUCUAAGAAUGAAAGUUGAGACAUCAUGCACUCAAGGGGAGAAUCCUACCACUAGAUCAAUUGCCUUAUCAUUGAUGGUUAUCUAUUAUCAGAAAAUUAGUGUGUUUCUGUGGUUGGCUGUAAUUGCAAUAACUUGGUUAGUUUUAAGUUUUAUUGGUUGCAACUGAAAAUGCUUGUUCUUUUAUUCUCCUCAAUUGGGAAACUUUUGAAUUGCAAGAAGAGGCUUUCCUUUGCCAGCAGGUGCUUAGAGGGUCCAAGAAAUAUGAGAGUAUUAAUCAAAUUUGAUCCCCAUUUUCUCCUGUGGAUCUUUACAGUAAUCUUAGAAAAAACAACAUUUCCUGGUCUUGAUCUGUAGAUCUUCUUGAGCAUUAUCUAUACCUUGCAAGGGACUUAGGUGACUCAUCUGAAGCAUUGGUCUUGAGAUCGAAGCGGUUACAUAUUUUUCCAAUAACCACUAGCUUGCAAAAAGGGUAAGAAUGCUUGUGGUAUUAGUAACUUCCAAAAGAUUUCCUGAAAUUGUUCAUGCUUCUUCACAUGUUGAUCCCUAGAAGUCAUGACUGCAGCCUAAGACAUGAGAUUUUAGUAGUAUAUGAAAGACAACCCUGUUGAGAAGAUAAGUGAUAAGUACCCCAUACAAAAAAUUAAGUGUCCUGAAUCACUAUGCUCUGCCUUGAGGCAUAAAAAAGUAGCAUAUUCUGUUGAGUAGCUUGAAAAUUUGUCAGAACACAAAUAAGAAGCUGAUGCUAACUGUCCAAAAGUUUGGUGGGGAUAAUCCUUUUUUCCAAAGUCUCAUUCCUAUAAUUUGUCAUUGGCAAGCUAAAUUUGUAUUUGGUUGGUGCUGUAUAAUCUGACUGGGCAUUCUCUAGUUCAUAAAUGCUUGUCUGGUGCUAUUCCUGAUUAAAAGUAUUCUGCCCAAAUAUUGGAAACAAAAUGAAAUGUUAUUUCUGUUUGGUGUGUGCUGUGAAACCCUCAGUGAACACUUUCCAGUUCCUGAAUGCUUGUCCAGUGCCUUUUCCUGAUCAAACUACACUGGUCAAAUAUAUAAAACAGAACGAAUAUUGAAAUGAAUUCCUGGUUAUAGUACUCUGUUCAAAUAUUUAAAACAGAUAAAAAUAUAGAUAAAAGAAAACUGCACUGGUUAAGGAAUUCCUGAUCAAAAGUGGGGGCAUUCCGAGAAUCGACCUCUCGCACCCAAAGCGAGAAUCAUACCACUAGACCAAAUGCCCAACUGUUGAAUUUUAUCAUAUUCAACUUAUGAUCAUUGUGUGUGAUUGGAAUCAAGGGACUAGUCACUUUUGAUCUCUUGUCACUCCUUUUAAUUUUUAAGUGGACCUUUAUUUAAAGAAGCAACCUGUUCCUGUUGCCUCACCUGUUUUGAGGUGUAUGUGUGGCUAGCAGGGGUUGAAUUUGAAACUUCUACUUCUGAUACUCUCUUAAUUUCAGAAGCCAUUAGAUUGCUUGAAUAGGUUUAGUUUUCAAGCUAAUUGCUUGGCUAGGGUUUGUGUUCAAGUUAAUUGCCUUGAUAGGGUUUUGUUUUCAAUCAAAUUGCUUAGAUAGGGAUUUGUCCUCAAGCUAUAAACUAUUACAGCAAGGAACCAACAGAAUGUCAAUUUCAUUCCAGUAUCAAAUGUUCCAAAUUGAUUCUUUUCUGAAUAUCUAUUUGGAGGAAGCGAAAUUGUCUGAUCUUGAACCUGAGGCUGCUAUAGUUAUCAGAUUCUUAUCCUGAGAAAUUGAUGUUGUUUCUGUGGCCUCUGCAAGCACAGAAAUCUUUUGUACCACAAUAGUGUUCAAUGUAUUUCUUCUCUUUAUUGAAUGGAACUGUCUUGGCAUUAAGUUCUAUUGCAGGCUUCAGAUGACCCAUCAGAAGCAAUCAAGUGUAGUCUGCAGUGUCAUUCUUCUUAGUGUUGGGCUGGAGUAAAGCAGUGUAAGAGUUGAAAGUGAAUCUUGUUCUGGUGGCAGUCCAAGAUUAAUCAGAAUGCUUGUUGAUGCUAUUUCCAAAUAAAUCAAAUGUUUUCUUGUAAAUAGGGUUGCUAUUCAAAUUCUAUCUUUGGUCAUCUCUGGUUGGUAAAGUUGAUUGAGUGAUUUGAAUAUGCUCUUUGUGGAUUUUUACUCCAUGUUCGUGAGUAAAUGCUCCUAUAUUUAAGUGAUGGUCAAGUCUUUUCUUUUGAGUUCCCAAGGAUGGAGCAGGAAAAUUUAAUGUAGCAUUCACCAAUUAAGGUGGGGCAUCCAGAGUUGAACUUGGGAUAUUUUGCACCCAAAGCAAGAGUCAUUUUAGUAGAUCAAAUGUGCAAGUGUUGGUACAUAUUUUGCUACAUCAAUGUGCUUGCUUCCUAUCACCAAUUGUAAUUGUUGAUAGUUUUUCAUGCAUGUUGACUUAAUGUGCAUUUGGUUGUUAAAAUAUCAGUACAGAGAAGUGGCCAAAACAACAUGACCAUAUUUUAUUCAGUAGCUUCAGAAAUCAUCAAAACUUAAACAGGAGCGCUAGGCCUAGGAUCCAAGAUUUGGGUGUGUCUAGCAUGCUUAUCUCUCAAGUCUCUUGUUUAUACAAUUGCUUGUUUGGCUUUAAGGUGAGUUUACUGUUCAGAUAUUUAAAAGAGAAGGAAAUAGAGAACUAAAAAAUGUAUAGAUGAGUGAAUUUCUCAUAAAAAUGGGGCAUUCCGAGAAUUGAACUUGGGACCUCUCACACCCUAAGCGACAAUCAUACCACUAGACCAAUUGCCCAUUUUCUGAUUUUUAUGUUUUCAUCUUCUGACCAAUGUGGUUGAUUGGAUUUAAAGGGAUUUGUAACUCAUGCUCCAAUUUCACCUGAUAACUUUGAGGUGAUCCACCUUCAAAUGUGCAGAUGUUGGUACAUAUUUUGCCAUAUCAAUGUGCCUGCUUCUUAUCACCAAUUGUAACUGUUGCUAGUUUUUGAUACAUGUUGACUUAAUGAGCAUUUGGUUGUUAAAAUAUUAGUAAAAAGUAGUGGCAAAAACAACAGGAGCAGAUUUUAUUAUGUAGCUUCAGAAAUAAUCAAAACAUAAACAGGAGUUCUGGGCCUUCAAUCCAAGAUUUGGGUGUGUCUAGCAUGUUUAUCUCUCAAGUCUCUUGUUUAUAUAAUUGCUUGUUUGGCUUUUAGGUCAGUCUAGUCUGUUCAGAUAUUUAAAAGAGAAGAAAAUAUAGAACUAAAAAAUUUAUAGAUGAGUGAAUUUCUCAUAAAAAUGGGGCAUUCCGAGAAUUGAACUCGGGACCUCUCGCACCCUAAGCGAGAAUCAUACCACUAGACCAAAUGCCCAUUUGCUGAUUUUUAUGUUUUCAUCUUCUGAUCAAUGUGGCUAUUUGGAUUUGAAGGGGUUUGUAACUUUUGCUCCAAUUUCUCCUGUUAACUUUUAGGCGACUCACCUUCAUCUAAAGGAGUGUGCUUUCUUGGUGUCCUCAACCUCCUAAGAUUUGGAUCUCACAGUCUGAACCCAAGUAGCCCUUAUUAUUAUGUUGUUUGUCUUAUAGAUUAAUAAAUAUUAUAGCGCCUAGAUAUUGACCUGUUUGAUCCCUGGAUACCAAGAGCUAGAAAUGUAAGAUUGUAUUCUGACCAAUUAAUGGUGCCCAAGUCUCUGAGUUGUUGUCAUCUUACUUUGCUUCUUUGGUUUGUCAGACUGGUGGAACAUGAGAUUAAAUUUGAUAACUUCCAUGAAUUGGAGGUUGUAUGAUUUGAAAUAGUCCUUUCCAUUUUCUUCACUGAAAUUUCUAGGCAGCCAGAGCAUAUUGUUAGUAUGUAAAGACAACAAGGUGAGCUGGAACAUUAAAUCUUGUUUGUUGCUAUGGACAGAUUAAUCAAACUGAUUGCAUCACUUGAUAAUUUUCUCUUGCAUUCCCUCAAAAUUUCCAGUUAUCACUGAAGUUUACUUGCUGUAGUCUCCACAUAAUUGUUGCUAAAUGAUUCUGUUACCUGCUGAAUGGUUAAGAUGCUACUUUCAGGAAAUGCUGGAUGUAGAUCUACUUUAAGAAAAACAUUCUAGGUUAGAAAAGCCAUUGAGAACUUCUUCUAUAUGGCUAAUGCAUGCUUCUCUAACCAAAUGGAAAAGUAUGUUCUUAGUUUAUUGAUGGAGUACCUUACAGUAAACUAUUUGGUAGUUGACUGUGUUAGCAUUACUUGAAAAAAUGACAGGAUGAGUUGACAGGACAGUUAGGUGGAAAGCCCAAGAGUAAAAUAUCAUAUCAGGUUGCAGGUUUGAUUUUGAGCUACAAACCUUUAUAUCUAGACCUGCUUCUUGUUUCUUCUCAAUUCAUGGAUGAAGAAUGUUGUCAACAGAGCUUUAUCUGGUCCAGUUGAAGGAUUUAUUUUCUUGCAGUUUGACUUCAGGUCUUUAUUGCAGUUCGACUUCAGCUCAGAAUCUUUAAACAAAAAGUAGAGAAUUGAUAAAACUGUCUGGUUAAAUAAAUUCCUGAUUGAAAUGGGGCAUUCCGAGAAUCGAACUCGGGACCUCUCGCACCCGAAGCGAGAAUCAUACCACUAGACCAAAUGCCCAAUUGCUGAUGUUUAUCUUGUUCAAUAUUUUACUAGUGUUUUUCUAUUAGAUGUAAGGGAUUUUUUAGACCAGUAGGUGCUCUUUUUAAUUCUUAAGUGAACAACCUUGAACUAAAAAAGCAUGGUUUCUUGCUUCACUCCUUCGAAGAUUUGGUAUUGUGUGGUGCUUGUGUCCCUAGCAGGAUGGAUGCAAAAGAUUCUCAAAAGUUACUCAAUCAUGCAUACAUGAUAUGCACAUGUACACACCACACACAUAUGGAUCUCAGCUUUUGAACCUGAAGUAAAUGUUUAGAUUCAUGAUGUUAGGGGUUGGCCAAUAGCCUCUCUGCAUAUGUAAUUUGCCUGUCCAUGGAUAGCAAGAACUAGAAAAGUAAAAUUCCUUCCUACCAAAUUAGAGUGACUUAAUUCUUCAAGUCUCUCAUCAUUUUACUUUGCUUCUUUGGUUGUCCUAGAUGAUGGGGGUAAAGAGAUGAAUUUGGAUGUUGUAUGACUCAAAAUAUUGGUUUUCUUGUUUCUUUCCGGGAAAAGGAAACUAAUAUUUGAAAUUUUGUAUGAACUUGGAGUUGUGUGAAUCAGAAUAUUGCUAUUCCUUAUUUUCUCAGAUUUCUCAGCAGCCGGACAAACCAUACCAGUAGCCUGUUGAGAAACAAGGUAAGCUGAAGGUGAAAUCCUGUAUGCAAGAUUAAUCAUAAUGCUCAUAUGGCUUGAAACUUUCCACAUGCUUUCCUUGGUGCUACCUCAAAAUUUAACUUGGAUUUUGUUUGCUGUAGCCUCUAUUUUUUGGUACUUUGUGAUGUUGUCAUUCAUGGAACUGUUAAGAUGCUAUUAAAUUAGAAUGUGGAUCAUCUUGAAAAAAAUGAUUUUACUUUGGAAAAUCAUCAAGAAUCUUCUGUGGAUAUUCAAAAUAUGUUACUUGUACCAACAAAGGAAGUCCUGCUUCUUAAUUUAAAGACCAAGUAUCUUCACAGGUAAUGACUUGGUUUACAAGUUGACCGGAUCAGAAUACUUGGCAUAGUUCUUGAAGAAAAUGAGAUGAGUUGAUAGGACUGUUAGGUGGAGAGCCCAACCAAAAGAUUCCACAUCCAAGAAAAGACAAACUUUCAGCAACUAUGUAGAGCAGUAAGGUGGGCUGCCAGGAACUUUCUAUGACCUGAAAUUACCUACUUAUACAAGAAACACUGACUUUUAAUUUUUUUUAAUCCCAUACUUCUAAUAGGUUUACCUGCAUAAGUCCUUGAAUUGGUUGUUCAGGCGAUGUGACACUGAACAAAUUCUUCCAUGUGUUCUAGUAUUGAGCUUAGGGGUAUGUUCUGGAACUGAGGCAGACAGUUUUCCCUGCUCUGUGUUGACAAUGAGGUUUCAGGUUUAAUUCUUGUCUGCUCAUAUUGAUUGCUUCUUUUUUCUCUUCAAUUCAUUGAUGGAGAAUCCUGUCAGAACACAGUUAAACCUUGACUAGUUAAAAUUUUUAUUGCAGAUGGACUUUGGGUCAGUCUACUUUGCUCAGAUAUUUAAACUAGAAUAAAGUAGAGAACUGAAAAUAUAUAGUUAAAUGAGCUUGUUAUUAAAAUGGGGCAUUCCGAGAAUCGAACUCGGGACCUCUCGCACCCAAAGCGAGAAUCAUACCACUAGACCAAAUGCCCAGUUGCUGAUGUUUAUGUUGUUCAGUGUUUGAUCAAUGUGGCUGAUUAAAUCUAGGAAUUUAUCACUUCUGAUCUCCUGUAGCUACUGUUAAUUUAAGGUGAACCUCCUUCAUCUGAACAACCAUUUUUUCCUGGUGCCACCCCUGAGAUUUGUAUCUGAUAUUUUGAACCUGAACGGAUUUUAGUAUUAUAUGUUUACCUAAUUGACUCAUAAUGUUAUGAUGGCCUGGAUAUUGAGUUGCUUGGUUCCUGGAUAGCCAGGACUACAAUGAUUAGUGGCAUCCAAGUCUCUUGAGUCUUUGGCCAGUUUGCUUUGCUUCUUGGUUGCCCAGACAGUGGUGGAAAAAGAGAUUAAAUUUGAAACCUUACAUGAAUUGGAGGUUGUAUGACGUAAAAUAUUCCUUUUCUUCCUAAGAGAUCUUUGCAGCCACAGCAUAUUGUUAGCCUCUAAGAACAAGUUGAGAUAGAACAUCAAAUCCUAUUUGUUGUCACGGCAAGAUUAAUCAGCAUGCUUGUGUAUCUUGAUAAUUUCCUCCCGCAUUAGGUGGUGACCUAACCUCAAAAUCUUCAGUAAUUACUGAGGUUUUGUUUGCUUAGUUUCCACGCGGUUGUUAAUUUACUUACUUUACAAUGUUGUUGUGCACUGAAAGGUUAAGAUGCUAUUUUCAAGUAGAUAUAAAUCAGGAUGCAGUUCCAGUAUGAGAAGAGAAAUCAUUUUACACAAGCAGAAUCAUUGGAAACUUUUUUUUUUUUUUUUUUUUGGGUAUUAUGACAAGCAUGUUUUUUGAUCCAAGAAAAAGUCUGUUACUUCUUAAUAUACUGAUGGAGCAUCUCAUUGGUAACUCUUAGGUGUACAAGUUGACUAGAUCAGAAUGCUUGGUAGAGUACUUGGAAAAAUGAGCAGCAGACAAGAAAAUUGGGGGGAGAGCAUAAACACAAGGUUCCAUAUCCCAACAAAGGACUAAUCUAUUGGCAACCAUGUGGAGCUGGGCAGUUGGACUUCCGGAAAAUUCCCAUAACCUGAUCUCACCUACUUAGGUAAGAAUGAAUGGCACACCUGUUUUCCUACUUCACUUUGGUUCUGACAAACUUUUGCUGGUUUUAGUUGAUUGAUUACUUGAGCCUGUUCCUCAAAUGUGUGACUGCUUCCAAUUUUUUUCCAAUAUCAUGGCCAAGUUUGUGUGCUACAGCCAAUACAGCUGGUGCUUGUUUCUUAUUGAUUCAUUGAUAAAGAAUCUUGUCAGUGCAUAAUUAUAUCUGACCUAUGUAAAAGUUUCCUUGCUGUUUUUAAGUUGACUUUAGGUAAGAUAGCUCAAAUAUUUAAAACACAAUGAAACAGAAAACAGAACACAGUGAGGUCACUGAUCCCUGAUUAGUUUCUCUUGCUGGUUUUGAGUUGACUUUCAAUCAUAUUGCUGCAAUAUUUAAAACACAAUGAAAUAGAGUACUGAAUACAGGUCAAUGAUUCCUGAUAAGUACUAUAUUCAAACAUUUAAAACAGAAUGAAAUAGGCAAGUGAGAAAUAAAAAAAUAAAAAUCUGUACAGGCAAAUGACUUCCUGAAAAAAAAAAAUGUGGGGCAUUCCGAGAAUCGAACUCGGGACCUCUCGCACCCAAAGCGAGAAUCAUACCACUAGACCAAAUGCCCACUUGUUGAUGUUUAUGUUGUUUGGUUUCUACUUAAUGUGUUGAUGGAUUCCCUUUCCCCCAUCCUCCAUCAUGAUAGUAUCUCUACCAGGACAGUGCUGAGAUGAAAAUACAAAUUAUCUCAUUUUUUUAACUUGAAACAUCUGUUAAUAUUAUAUUGUCUAUCUCAUCAUUCAAACUUUGUGGUGGCCUUUUCAGAUAUGAAGCUGAGUAGGCUCUGGAUAGCAAAAACCAGAAUAAUAAAAUUGCAAUCUAGCCAAUUAAUGGCACUAAGGACUCUGAGCUCGUGGUCAUUUUCCAUUGCUUCUUGGUUACCCAAACCAUGGAUAAACAAAGAAAUUAAGGUUGAGAUCUUUCAUGAGUUUUGGAGUUUGUAUGCUUCAAAAUAUUUUUUGCCAUCUUUUCUUUUCUUCCUAACAUUCGGCAACAGAGCUUUUUGUUAGCCUGCAGAAAAACAAAAUGAGCUGCAAGGUUGAGUCCUCUUUGUUGCCAUGACACUUAAUCAGAAUGCUCAUAUAGCUUGAUAAUUUCCUCUUGCAUCAGAUGGUGAUCUACCCUCAAAAUCUUGAGCUUCUAUGAUGCUAUUUUCAAGAGCAAUUAAAUCACAAUGUGGAUCAUCUGUAAAGCAAAAUCAUACAUCAGGAAAAUUGUAAAGAACUUCCUUUGUAUGAUUAUAAAUAUGCUUCAUUAACCCAAAGUUUGAUUUUUCUUUCUUCUUAAUUUAUUGGAAUAAUAGGCUGCUUGUAAAUAUGUGAUUUACAAGCUGACUGGGUUAGACUUCUUGGUAGAAUACUUUCAAAAUAGAUAAGCAGCUGAAGGAAAGUUAGGUAGAGAGCUCCUAAACAUGAGAUGCCACAUCCCAAGAAAGGACAGAAUCUUUUGACAACCAUGUGGAGCAGUGAAGCUGGACUUCCAGAAACUUCCUAUGACCCGAAAUCACCUACUUUGGUAAGAAAGGAUGUUCUAGUUAUGCUCUAGUUGUCAAAUUUUUCUGGUUUUAAUUGAUUGAGUACUUGAAUUUUUUUGUUCAAAUGAAUGCCUGCUUCCUUUUUUUCUAGAAUCAUGACUAAGUGUAUGUGCUUAGGUUGAGGCAGGUGAUGCUUGUUCCUUAUUAAUUCAUUGACAAAGGAUAUCAGGGCAUGCUGACUUCUGUUCUCAACAAAAUUUUCCAUUGUAGUUCUUCAGUUGACAUUAGAUCAGAUUAGCUCAAGUAUUUAAAACACAAUGAAAUUGACAACUCUACUGUAUGGGUCAAUGAAUUUUUAUUUUAUUUUUUUUUAGAAAAAGUACAGGUGAAUUAAUUCCACAUAAAAAGUGGGGCAUUCCGAGAAUCGAACUCGGGACCUCUCGCACCCAAAGCGAGAAUCAUACCACUAGACCAAAUGCCCACUUAUUGAUGUAUGUGUUGUUUUGAUUCUGAUCAAAUUUAAGGGAUCAGUCACUAUUGAUCUCCAACUGCUCCUGUUAAUUUUUAAGCGAAACUACCUUCAUCUGAAGGAGCUUACUCUUCUUGGUGCCCCACCACCUGAGAUUUAGUAUUUUGUGAUGCCAAUGUCUUUAGCAGGAUGAUGUAGAACAUGAUAAAAUUACAUCUGGAUCUCAUAUUUUGAACCCAAAACAUCUGUUGGUAUUAUAUUGCCUAUUUCAUAGGCUCAAACCCUGUGGCAUCCUUCAGAGACAAGGAGUUGAUUUGGCCCUGGAUAGCAAGAACCAGAAAAGUAAAAUUGUAUCCUAAGUUCCUAACCAAGUAAUUGCACACUCAAUUCUUUGCCCAUCUCAUCGUUUUAGUUCUUUGGUUGCCCAGAAUAUAGAGGAAAAAAGAAAUUUAUUUUGAAACCCUUUCAUUAAUUUGGAGGUUGUUCUCUUCCAAAAUAUUCCUUUUCCUUUUUUCCUGCUUAAGAUUUCUCUGCAGCCAGCACAUACUGUUUGCCUUUGGGAAACAAAGUGAGCUGGAUGGUUAGUUCUUGUUUGUUCCCAUGGCAAGAUUAACAAAAAAGCUUGCAUAGUUUGACAAUUUCCUCUUUUAUCAGAGGGUGGCAUUCAAUCAAAAUCUACUUUGCUGUAGCUUCUGCAUAACGUUUACUUUCUAAUGCUGUUCAUUGUUAGGAUGCUAUCUUCAAAUAUGAUCAAACUGGGAUGCAGACCAACUUUUAAAAAUCAGGAAAAUCAGAGAGAAUUUUCGUGGGGUCAAAGUGUGUCUCCUUGAUCCAAAGAAAAAGUAUGUUACAAAGUUAAAGUGUGUUCCUUUGACCCAAAAAUGAAGCCUAUUUACCUCCUUCUUACAAGACCGAAUUAGAAUGCUUGGUGCAGUAGUUGAAAGGAGGAGCAGCUGAGAGGAAAGUUAGGUGGAGAGCCCAAAAUCAAAAUGUGACGUCUCAAGAACAGAAUCUUUUGGCAGCUGUAUAAAGCAGUGCAGCUGGACUGUCAGAAACUUCUCACUGCCCAAAAUCAAUUGGUUAGAAGAAUAGAAGUUGUGUGAUAUUUCAAUAUUGGACUGGGGAAGAAGUUCCUGACACUAUAUAUAUAUAUAUA